This 400-nucleotide ribosomal RNA is filed under the name uncultured bacterium. RNAcentral's name for it is "bacterial SSU rRNA". It matches the Rfam family "Bacterial small subunit ribosomal RNA", at positions 361 to 773 of the family's 1533-position model. The record is from RNAcentral.
AUCUUGCUCAAUGGGCGAAAGCCUGAAGCAGCGACGCCGCGUGCGGGAAGAAGGCCUUCGGGUUGUAAACCGCUUUCAGGGGGGAAGAAGCGCAAGUGACGGUACCCCCAGAAGAAGGACCGGCCAACUACGUGCCAGCAGCCGCGGUAAUACGUAGGGUCCAAGCGUUGUCCGGAAUUAUUGGGCGUAAAGAGCUCGUAGGCGGUCCGUUAAGUCGGAAGUGAAAUCUCAAGGCUCAACCUUGAAAUCGCUCUCGAUACUGGCGGACUUGAGGCAGGUAGGGGAAGGUGGAAUUCCUGGUGUAGCGGUGAAAUGCGCAGAUAUCAGGAGGAACACCGGUGGCGAAGGCGGCCUUCUGGGCCUGUUCUGACGCUGAGGAGCGAAAGCGUGGGGAGCAAAC